UGGGGAAUAUUGCACAAUGGAGGGAACUCUGAUGCAGCGACGCCGCGUGAACGAAGAAGGCUUUCGAGUCGUAAAGUUCUUUUAUAUGGGAAGAUAAUGACGGUACCAUAAGAAAAAGCCCCGGCUAACUACGUGCCAGCAGCCGCGGUAAUACGUAGGGGGCUAGCGUUGUCCGGAAUCACUGGGCGUAAAGGGUUCGCAGGCGGAAAUGCAAGUCAGGUGUAAAAGGCAGUAGCUUAACUACUGUAAGCAUUUGAAACUGCAUAUCUUGAGAAGAGUAGAGGUAAGUGGAAUUUUUAGUGUAGCGGUGAAAUGCGUAGAUAUUAAAAAGAAUACCGGUGGCGAAGGCGACUUACUGGGCUCAUUCUGACGCUGAGGAACCAAAGCGUGGGUAGCAAACAGG
This 403-nucleotide ribosomal RNA is filed under the name bacterium. Its description in RNAcentral is "partial 16S ribosomal RNA". It matches the Rfam family "Bacterial small subunit ribosomal RNA", at positions 355 to 776 of the family's 1533-position model. The record is from RNAcentral.